This is a long non-coding RNA of Daphnia magna, 1124 nucleotides long. RefSeq lists it as uncharacterized. The transcript has 2 exons. The record is from RefSeq and is a predicted model, not a curated record. Lineage: Eukaryota; Metazoa; Arthropoda; Branchiopoda; Diplostraca; Daphniidae.
AAACAAACAUAAAAAAUAUUUUAAAAUCUAUAACGAUCAUGAUGGGCCAAUAAAAAGGUGUGAAUCGUAAAUCGGAAUCAUCGAUGUAUAGACUCCCCUUUUAUAUGUGACAAACUGCAAUAUUAUCUACUAAUAUAAUACACCAUAAAUGUAUAAAACUAAUAUAUAGAAUUCAAAUCGUAUAAUUGCGUUAUUCCUAUACAUGGAAAGUAUAGACUUUUUCACAUCUGAUUGGUUCAGGAUUUAAACAAGUUUCGUGACCCAGACUAUCUUCCAUAAAGAGAGGGGAGUCUUUACGUUAAAGGGAAAAAAAACAAAUGAAUAACGUAAAGGUAGUAGAUAAAAAAACAAAAGCAAAACGUCAAUGAAAAUUCCUUUUCUUCUUUGUUGUCUGUAGUGGACUCGACAUGUCACAGCCUGACGGGCAUGUACAGACAGGUGUCAUAUUUGCUUACCCUUACCUUCGCUUUUUUUCAGAUUUAAAUCAUUUUCUAAAUUGUGAUAUUUAAAAGGUGAACGACUGCCACGUGUAUAUCCGCAAAGGAGAAAGGUGGGCCAUAUCGGCAAAGGGAGCGACUCGCGUCCGUUCACGCCGACCCAUUAGUCAAUUUGCAUGGGGGCCGAACGCUUUUUAUACUUUGGUCGCCGAGACAACAACAAAAAUAAAUUGUGUGGACAUUUUUAACUUUCUAAAGUUCCAAAAACGAAUCGAAGUAACAAUCAGUAAAUCAAUGAAUUGUUUCCAAAUCGAAAUUUUUCUGGUCCUCAUUUGCAUACCUGUUUUUUUUUGUGUGUGUGUGUGUUUUGGAUCUCGUUGUACAGGACAUUGGACCGGUGAAUAAAUUAAAUUUAAAAAAAUUAAAUCAACGUUUCACAUCGGUUAGAUCGUCCAAUUGAUGCUAGGUAAAAGCCCUCAGGCUAUAAAGAUGCUUGAAUACCUUUUAGAUGUAUUUCUGUUUUCAUUUCCUUUUGAUUGCAAAAAAUAGUCAUACACAACAGACGAUGUUGAGAGGCAAAAUAUUUCAAUCUGAGCGGGGGACAUCCGACAUGUUGUCUAAAACAAUUUCAAUCGUUUAUAGAAGAAAAAAAAAUGAAUCAUCUGCAAAAGAAUGAAGGAAUUCAAA